UAGCGGCGGACGGGUGAGUAACACGUGGGUAACCUGCCUGUAAGACUGGUACAACUCCGGGAAACCGGGGCUAAUACCGGAUGGUUGUUUGAACCGCGUGGUUCAUACAUAAAAGGUGGCUUCGGCUACCACUUACAGAUGGACCCGCGGCGCACUAGCUAUUUGGUGAGGUAACGGUCCGCCUAGGGAACCAUGCGUAUCCCACCUGACAGGGUGAUCGGCCACACUGGGACUGAUACCCGGCCCACACUCCUACGGGAGGCACCAUUAGGGAAUCUUCCGCAAUGGACGAAAGUCUGACGGAACAACGCCUCGUGAUUGAUGAAGGUUUUCGGAUCGUAACGCUCUAUUGUUACGGAAGAACAACUACCGUUCGAAUAGGGCGGGACCUUGACGGUACCUAACCAUAA
Molecule: ribosomal RNA, 410 nt
Filed under: Bacillus sp. (in: firmicutes)
Lineage: Bacteria; Bacillati; Bacillota; Bacilli; Caryophanales; Bacillaceae
Description: bacterial SSU rRNA
Rfam family: Bacterial small subunit ribosomal RNA
Source: RNAcentral